This 1637-nucleotide long non-coding RNA is filed under the name Ursus maritimus (polar bear). RNAcentral describes it as "lncRNA (ENSUMAG00000019157.1)". Lineage: Eukaryota; Metazoa; Chordata; Mammalia; Carnivora; Ursidae. The record is from RNAcentral.
GCCGAGUGAUGCUCCAGGCUUCCUAAAACCUGAACAUGUCACUCCUGCAUGCUGUCCUGUCUGGUUUCUUACAGGAGAAGCUUAUGCGCUGACUUUUCUGCUGCUGCGCACAAGAUACCCGGUUGCGAACGCCUGAAGAGCUGCCUUGGGGUGAUUCAGGACGGGUCGAAGAGAGGAGAUUCCACUGGAGUGCAAGUCGAGCUGCUGGGGGUACUGAGGAGCCAGAGAGAGCCACAUGGCUCCCCGCUCCAGCGCUCUCUGUGAAUGCUCGAGGCCCACAGCUCUGGCCAGCUCUGAGCGAAGGUUCAAAGAAGAUGCUGGCCACCCUGAGCGGUGUGGGGCGUCAUGCCUGUGGAUGGAGGCUGUGACCUCUGGCCCCACCAUGAGGUCAGCCAGACCUCUGAGCUAUCAAGACUGGCUCCUGGGACUGAGCCAUGACACAGCCUCCUGCAAGACCUGGGGACACCCCUUCCUUCUGGCAUUAUUUCUGCAACAAAGAAGCAGAGAGAGGCAAGGCAGCCCUGAGGGCCGGAAGGCUCAGGAGAGGAGUGGAGAGCUGGCUCAGGCCGGUGCUCUCAUGAUCUUCCUGCUGGAUGGCAGCCAGCUAGCCCAGGAGAGCAGGGACGUAUGUGUCUAAACUCAGGAGAUCUGCACGAGUGACUUCCAGUGCUUCCUUGUCCAAAAGCUAUGGUAAGCGGGCGGUGCAGCACCCAUCACCUGAUAAAUCCAAGGCAUCAAGAGGCAGACCUCUCAGGGGACAGAGGUCCCCGCAUAAAGCAGUCAACUUACGCCAGCUCAGUGCUGGCUGAGAGUGCAGAAAACCGAGAACGGGUGGUAGAAAUAGACUAUUAGUUAUGACCUUGAGAUCCACUGUGACAGGGGACCAGGGCUCGUUCUACUCACUCUCUUACAUUAAGUCCUGACAGAGCUGCAGCUUUGGAUAAAGACUCUGUUGAAUUGGAGGGUCCAUGAUGGAUAUGAACGGUGCAAGGGACUUCCCUUGUGCCUCAGCUCAAAUCCUCUCAGAGGGACCCUCCCUACUUGACAGACUAUUGCGGAGACCAGUCUGGACAGGCUUCAGAACAGCUCAGCCUGGCAGCAAUGUGACAGUGUCUGCCCCAGGGCGUCCCUGAAGCUGCUGUGCAAAUGCCCACAGAAUGCUAGGCGCACACCCUGGGACAGCCUGGAGAUGUGGGGGAGUUGGUGCAAGAGGCCACCAUUGACCACUGGGAGACAGGAUCCUGUAGGUAAAUGCUCACCCAUUUCGUUCCCUGAGCAGAGAAAUCUGAGCUACACCCCCUCAGGCUCUUCAGAAGGUACUAUGGGAUUGGUCUGUUGCCCAUAGGGGCAGCUAACUCAGUCCUACAUCUUUGCCUUUCUCACUUCUCCCGUUUCACUCCUCAGGUCCUCUCUCUGGAUCCCUGGGAUCACUUCCCGUAUAAACUACCUUCAGGUAAGCCUGUGUCUGAGGCACAGCUUUUAGGGGAACUCAAAUGAAGACAGCCAUUCAUAAAGUUGAAAGAGGGAGGGGAAGGUGUGAAACCAUCUUUUCUCAGAGUGCAAAUAUCAUAAAGCCACCAAGCAUGCUGGGUUCCUAUUUGGGGUGUGCAGGAAUGUGUUUAAGGUAAACCCUCCAG